CUCCUACGGGGGGCAGCAGUGGGGAAUAUUGCACAAUGGGGGAAACCCUGAUGCAGCGACGCCGCGUGAGUGAAGAAGUAUUACGGUAUGUAAAGCUCUAUCAGCAGGGAAGAAACCCACCCUUUGGGGUGGCUGACGGUACCUGACUAAGAAGCCCCGGCUAACUACGUGCCAGCAGCCGCGGUAAUACGUAGGGGGCAAGCGUUAUCCGGAUUUACUGGGUGUAAAGGGAGCGUAGACGGCAGCGCAAGUCUGGAGUGAAAUCCCAUGGCUUAACCAUGGAACUGCUUUGGAAACUGUGCAGC
RNAcentral lists this ribosomal RNA (305 nucleotides) under uncultured bacterium. RNAcentral describes it as "bacterial SSU rRNA". It matches the Rfam family "Bacterial small subunit ribosomal RNA", at positions 336 to 641 of the family's 1533-position model. The record is from RNAcentral.